GACGAACGCUGGCGGCGUGCUUAACACAUGCAAGUCGAACGGAAAGGCCCCAGCUUGCUGGGGUACUCGAGUGGCGAACGGGUGAGUAACACGUGGGUGAUCUGCCCUGCACUCUGGGAUAAGCCUGGGAAACUGGGUCUAAUACCGGAUAGGACCGUGCUUUAGUGUGUGCGGUGGAAAGUUUUUCGGUGCAGGAUGAGCCCGCGGCCUAUCAGCUUGUUGGUGGGGUAAUGGCCUACCAAGGCGGCGACGGGUAGCCGGCCUGAGAGGGUGUACGGCCACAUUGGGACUGAGACACGGCCCAGACUCCUACGGGAGGCAGCAGUGGGGAAUAUUGCAUAAUGGGCGCAAGCCUGAUGCAGCGACGCCGCGUGGGGGAUGACGGCCUUCGGGUUGUAAACCCCUUUCGGCAGGGACGAAGCUUUUGUGACGGUACCUGCAUAAGAAGCACCGGCUAACUACGUG
This 465-nucleotide ribosomal RNA is filed under the name uncultured bacterium. RNAcentral's name for it is "partial 16S ribosomal RNA". It matches the Rfam family "Bacterial small subunit ribosomal RNA", at positions 28 to 507 of the family's 1533-position model. The record is from RNAcentral.